Molecule: long non-coding RNA, 1242 nt
Organism: Vicia villosa (hairy vetch)
Lineage: Eukaryota; Viridiplantae; Streptophyta; Magnoliopsida; Fabales; Fabaceae
Exons: 6
Source: RefSeq, a predicted model, not a curated record
CCUAACAUACCCUAUUUUUCAUUACUAUCCACACUUUUCUCUUUCUUGCCCUCUUUUCUCUCUCUUUUCCCCUCCCGUGUUCUCUCUUCUUCCUACCUCUUUUACCUCUCAAACCCUACCGCCGCCGUUCCCCUUUCACCACCCCUUCUCUAACCUUGAUUCAUGAUCUACGUCAAGGAAACAUUUACUCACCGUCGAGAAGAAGCAGAUUAAGGUAGUGCUCAAUUACAUUGAAGCUCCGUUCUUCUGUUCCAACCGUUUUCCGCUCCAGAUUCUUGUCGGAUCCGAAUCCACUCAUUUGCUUGAAAGUGGAAUAGUGCUACCUGUCAAGAUUUAUAAGGACAAAGAGAGUGGAAAUAUUUUGAACUUGGGAUUUGUUUGAGCUGAAGAUGGCACGAAUUUGAAGGUUGAUGUUCCGGUUGUUUUCAAAGGUGAAGAUGCUUGCCAUGGUCUUCAGAAAGGCACUAGCGGCUAGAAAUCCAGUUUGUAACUUUGCGCUGAUGGUUGGUACCACUGAUAUUCCUGAUUGGUGCUUUAUGGAGACCUAUGGAACCAAUGGGAGGGAUGGAAUUAAUGGUGGAUAUUUUCCAAAGCUAUGGUUGUAUUUUAUUUGGAAAAUCCCAAUCUACUUAAGUAAUAGUUGAUCUGCUGAAAUUUUCUUAGCAGCUACCUAUGAUCUUUUUUUUUCAGACCAACUAUUAAUUUUCAUACUUUAUCGACAUAUAAUUAUUGCAGGGAGCACAGAUAGCCUUGGCAAGUCCUGGAUUUAUCUAUGAACCUCAUGAACCUCAUGAUGCUUCUUAGUACAGCUUAUGUCAUAUAAGGAACCAAACAAAAUGACAACAAGGUCAUUUUCCAAGUUGUCCUAUAUUUAUACCAAUUUUGCACAGGUUUUCUUUCUAAUCUUCCCGCUCCUUCGGGUCUCCUUUUCAUGAGAUGUUAGCAGUUGAUUGUGAGAUGGGUGAUGCGUUAAAGAAAGUGAUUGGAGUAGUUUCUUACAUUGAGUGCAGCUAUAAAACACAACAGAAUGUGAAGGUAGUGUUUGAUGCUGCUAUAAAGAUUGCAUUGAGACCAUUCAAAAUCUACAAUCUAAUGCCAAAGAUAUUUUUCCUACAAGUUUACAGUAACUGACCAUAUAAAUACACCACACAAAGUUGAUGUUUUUUAAAUUUUACAACAAUAAAUUGUGUUAUUGGACUAUAAGUUUAGUACUUCAUCUAUCAGAUUAGUUGGCUUGGUUUU